Molecule: ribosomal RNA, 253 nt
Filed under: uncultured bacterium
Lineage: Bacteria
Description: partial 16S ribosomal RNA
Rfam family: Bacterial small subunit ribosomal RNA
Source: RNAcentral
UACGAAGGGAGCUAGCGUUGUUCGGAAUUACUGGGCGUAAAGGGUGCGUAGGCUGUCUGCUCAGUCAGGUGUGAAAGCCCCGGGCUUAACCCGGGAAUUGCACUUGAUACUGGCAGGCUUGAGUUCGGGAGAGGUGAGUGGAAUUCCCAGUGUAGAGGUGAAAUUCGUAGAUAUUGGGAAGAAUAUCAGUGGCGAAGGCGGCUCACUGGACCGAAACUGACGCUGAGGCACGAAAGCGUGGGGAGCAAACAGG